UCAGUAACGGCGAGUGAAGCGGCAAAAGCUCAAAUUUGAAAUCUAGCACUUUCAGUGUUCGAGUUGUAAUUUGAAGAAGGUAACUUUGGUUUUGGCUCUUGUCUAUGUUCCUUGGAACAGGACGUCACAGAGGGUGAGAAUCCCGUGCGAUGAGAUGCCCAAUUCCAUGUAAAGUGCUUUCGAAGAGUCGAGUUGUUUGGGAAUGCAGCUCUAAGUGGGUGGUAAAUUCCAUCUAAAGCUAAAUAUUGGCGAGAGACCGAUAGCGAACAAGUACAGUGAUGGAAAGAUGAAAAGAACUUUGAAAAGAGAGUGAAAAAGUACGUGAAAUUGUUGAAAGGGAAGGGCUUGAGAUCAGACUUGGUAUUUUGCGUUCCCUUCCUUUUUGGUUGGGUUCCUCGCAGUUUACUGGGCCAGCAUCGGUUUGGAUGGUAGGAUAAUGACAUUGGAAUGUAGCUUUACUUCGGUGAAGUGUUAUAGACUUUGUUGAUACUGCCUAUCUAGACCGAGGACUGCGUCUUUGACUAGGAUGCUGGCGUAAUGAUCUUAAGCAGCCCGUCUU
RNAcentral lists this ribosomal RNA (559 nucleotides) under Dujonia zeylanoides. RNAcentral's name for it is "[Candida] zeylanoides partial large subunit ribosomal RNA". It matches the Rfam family "Eukaryotic large subunit ribosomal RNA", at positions 80 to 655 of the family's 3401-position model. The record is from RNAcentral. Lineage: Eukaryota; Fungi; Ascomycota; Pichiomycetes; Serinales; Debaryomycetaceae.